CCUCCAUUUCUUGGCAUACUUGAGGUUGUGAAGUACUCAUGUGUGUAAUGUACGGAGGAAGAGAGAAUGCAGCGCUAUGUCUUCGGUGCCGGUGUGUAUUGUUGUCUGCCGGUUCUAUCCUCAAUCGCUCCGACACUC
Molecule: non-coding RNA, 138 nt
Organism: Xyrichtys novacula (pearly razorfish)
Lineage: Eukaryota; Metazoa; Chordata; Actinopteri; Labriformes; Labridae
Source: the annotation of a GenBank genome assembly